Molecule: ribosomal RNA, 573 nt
Filed under: Triticum aestivum (bread wheat)
Lineage: Eukaryota; Viridiplantae; Streptophyta; Magnoliopsida; Poales; Poaceae
Description: partial small subunit ribosomal RNA
Source: RNAcentral
AUGGCCGCGCCCGACGCCGCCCCGGUAUAUAUAUGUGCGCGGGGCGCGUCCUCCGUGUACUCCCCCGCAGCCUGCUCCUGCUCUAGAGUACGUCGCGCUGCACCGUGCCCUCCAAAGCAGGCUGCUCUUGAGUGUCACCGUGCACUGGCACCGCGCGCGCGAGCUCUUGGUGUCGAGAAGAUGAUGAUGAGGCAUGGUCUUGUCGCCCGAGUUCACCGCGCUCAUCCCCUUCUUCUGCUCCUCGCGGCCGUCUUGUUGCUCACCGCCACGGCUGAUGGCAUCAGACCGGGCCCCGAUGAUGCUGAUGCAAGACCGGCAGUGCAGCGUGCACGGCCGGGGCAUGCGCCUGGUGCUGCGGCGACGGAGACGGAGGAGAAGAAGGAUGUGUCGGGGUUCCUGCAGGAGGAGGUGUACGGGACGGGGUCGAGCCUGCCGGACUGCACGCACGCGUGCGGCGCCUGCAAGCCGUGCAACCGCGUGAUGAUCAGCUUCAAGUGCUCCAUCGCCGAGCCCUGCCCCAUGGUCUACCGCUGCAUGUGCAAGGGCAAGUGCUACCCCGUUCCCUCCAGCUAG